Molecule: ribosomal RNA, 468 nt
Filed under: uncultured bacterium
Lineage: Bacteria
Description: partial 16S ribosomal RNA
Rfam family: Bacterial small subunit ribosomal RNA
Source: RNAcentral
GACGAACGCUUGCGGCGUGCUUACCACAUGCAAGUCUACCGGCAACGCCCUGCUUUUCUGGUGUGCCCGAGUCCCGAACUGGUGAGUCACCCGUGAGUUACCUCCCCUUCCUUUUCUCAUACCUUCACGAUCCUGCGGCUUCUUCCGGAUAGGAGCCUCUCCUGCAUGGUGCGGGUUGCCUCGUUUCGGCGGUUGGGGCUGGCCUCGCGGCUUCUCAGCGUGUUGGUGGGGUAGUGGCUUACCAAGGCUUUGACGGGUCUCCGGCCAGCGGACGUGACCAGCCACAUUGGGACUGAGAUACGGCCCAGACUCCUACGGGAGUCAGCAGUGGGGAAUAUUGCACAAUGGGCGGAAGCCUGAUGCAGCAACGCCGCGUGCGGGAUGACGGCCUUCGGGUUGUAAACCGCUUUCGCCUGUGACGAAGCGUGAGUGACGGUAAUGGGUAAAGAAGCAAGGGCUAACUACGUG